UCUCUCUGUGUAUUUAUUUUGCUCAUCCUCCCUAACGCCCUCUCCAUCUCUCUCUCUGUGUCACGCAUCAGAGUUGCGAGCCCAAGGCGGAGUCAGAAGCCUAAGAAAGAGGAGGGACGGGCUUACCAGGGUUUCUUCCUGCUCUCUCCGCCUCCUUCCGGAAUGCGGCCUCUGAUGCCAGCCAUCGGGAUCUUUCCUUCCCCUACGAGAAGGAGACGUGCGAGGAGAAAAAGGUACCAAGAUGAUGGUGAUCCGGGCUACAAUGACCAUGUGCUCCUGCAAUAAUAACAUGCCAGAUUCUCUAGUCCUGUUGAUUUCGGUAGCCGAUAUGCAUUAGACGAGGACAUGUUUGGAGAAUUCGGGAAUGAAGCCAUUGGUCCGCGAGACACCAUAUAUUUUGGGUCACUGUAAUUGACAUCCUCAAAUGUCGAUUUCUAGUUCAGUUAAAUGACGUAUUCUGUUUAGUUCUUCAAUUCUCUGAAUUGUUGUUCCUGUUGAACCAAUGAGCUUCACCACGGUUUCUACACAGUGGCCUCUUGGUGGGAUGAUGCUAAAUGGUUGCAACAAGUAGUUCCUUGAAGAGCCAAGGUAUGAUUGUGUGAUAGUGCUGUGAAUUGUGUUCCCAGUAAGGAUGAUGCAGAGUUCAAAGAACUGGAAACUCUCGGUCAACAUCCGGUUCUUAAAUGUCUUUUUAAGGGUUGGGUAGGGUAUCACGGUAAGGAUGCAGAGUCAUAAUUCAUUUGCAGGACAUACACGUCUGUAUUAUGCUGGACGAGGGCUAUUAUGUUCUGAUCCACCAAUAUUAAUUCACUUUUUCUA
Musa acuminata subsp. malaccensis (wild Malaysian banana) is the source of this 819-nucleotide long non-coding RNA. RefSeq lists it as uncharacterized. The record is from RefSeq and is a predicted model, not a curated record. NCBI's taxonomy places the organism in Eukaryota, Viridiplantae, Streptophyta, Magnoliopsida, Zingiberales, Musaceae.